This 406-nucleotide ribosomal RNA is filed under the name uncultured bacterium. RNAcentral describes it as "partial 16S ribosomal RNA". It matches the Rfam family "Bacterial small subunit ribosomal RNA", at positions 30 to 526 of the family's 1533-position model. The record is from RNAcentral.
AUUGAACGCUGGCGGCAGGCCUAACACAUGCAAGUCGAACGAGUGGCGGAUGGGUGAGUAAUGUCUGGGAAACUGCCUGAUGGAGGGGGAUAACUACUGGAAACGGUAGCUAAUACCGCAUACCAUCGGAUGUGCCCAGCUGGGAUUAGCUAGUAGGUGGGGUAAAGGCUAACCUAGGCGACGAGCCCUAGCUGGUCUGAGAGGAUGACCAGCCACACGGGAACGGAGACCCGGUCCAGACUCCUACGUGAGGCAGCAGUGGAGAAUAUUGCACAAGGGGCGCAAGCCUGAUGCAGCCAUGCCGCGUGUAUGAAGAAGGCCUUCGGGUUGUAAAGUACGUUCAGCGGGGAGGCGUUACCCGCAGAAGAAGCACCGGCUAACUCCGUGCCAGCAGCCGCGGUAAUAC